RNAcentral lists this long non-coding RNA (467 nucleotides) under Homo sapiens (human). RNAcentral's name for it is "HSALNT0284388". Lineage: Eukaryota; Metazoa; Chordata; Mammalia; Primates; Hominidae. The record is from RNAcentral.
CAGUUUUAUUUGAAAGUCACGGGGAGGAGCCAAGAUGGCCGAAUAGGAACAGCUCCGGUCUACAGCUCCCAGCCUGAGCGACGCAGAAGACGGGUGAUUUCUUCAUUUCCACCUGAGACCUGCAUUGAGCUGCGGUGCUGAUGUUUCUCCUAGUAGCAUGGCUUUCGGUAUAAAAAUAUGCAAAAAAGUGACGUGAGGAAUAUUUGAACCAAGGUUUUAACCUUCAAAAUAUCAGGAAUGGGAAAGGAGGCAGCUAAGAAGAUGGAGAAGGAUAUACUGGGGAAACAAGUCAUAAGGAUUUGCCUUUCAGUUAAAAAACUUUCCCUGAAGCAGCUAUUAGAGAAAAGCAACUUAUUAUAAUUCUGAAAAUUUUUCCUUCUUGAUGUUCUAUCUCUAUGCAGAUGUCAUCUCCUCUUCCAUUCAGUAGACAAAAAAUAAAAAAUGGAUACUGUGUUAUUGGUGCUCUG